GGGAGCAAUCCUGGCGGCGAGUGGCGAACGGGUGAGUAAUACAUCGGAACGUGCCCAAUCGUGGGGGAUAACGCAGCGAAAGCUGUGCUAAUACCGCAUACGAUCUACGGAUGAAAGCAGGGGACCGCAAGGCCUUGCGCGAAUGGAGCGGCCGAUGGCAGAUUAGGUAGUUGGUGGGGUAAAGGCUCACCAAGCCAACGAUCUGUAGCUGGUCUGAGAGGACGACCAGCCACACUGGGACUGAGACACGGCCCAGACUCCUACGGGAGGCAGCAGUGGGGAAUUUUGGACAAUGGGCGCAAGCCUGAUCCAGCCAUGCCGCGUGCAGGAUGAAGGCCUUCGGGUUGUAAACUGCUUUUGUACGGAACGAAAAGGUUCUUUCUAAUAAAGAGAGCUCAUGACGGUACCGUAAGAAUAAGCACCGGCUAACUACGUGCCAGCAGCCGCGGUAAUACGUAGGGUGCAAGCGUUAAUCGGAAUUACUGGGCGUAAAGCGUGCGCAGGCGGUGAUGUAAGACAGUUGUGAAAUCCCCGGGCUCAACCUGGGAACUGCAUCUGUGACUGCAUCGCUGGAGUGCGGCAGAGGGGGAUGGAAUUCCGCGUGUAGCAGUGAAAUGCGUAGAUAUGCGGAGGAACA
Molecule: ribosomal RNA, 637 nt
Filed under: Variovorax sp. M73T9
Lineage: Bacteria; Pseudomonadati; Pseudomonadota; Betaproteobacteria; Burkholderiales; Comamonadaceae
Description: bacterial SSU rRNA
Rfam family: Bacterial small subunit ribosomal RNA
Source: RNAcentral